GCCUACGAUCCAAUCUCGGAGCAUUCCCAGGCGACCGAGCCGGCGGCGACGGCGGCGGCGGCGGCGUCGGUGUCGUCUUGCCCCCAGACGCCCAACACCUCGACUGCUCCAGGGCGCGUCGUCCUCAACGACGGCGCCUUUGCACUUCUUCUCCACCUUCCUCCUCCAGAGAGCAAAGGAGCCUUGAGGUGGUGAUUCAAAUUGUGGUGCAAAUUACACGUGGAGUUGAAGCAUAUGUAUGGAGUAGCCAUGGGCUAGCUAGCUAAGCUGCUUACC
This 276-nucleotide long non-coding RNA is filed under the name Oryza sativa aus subgroup. Its description in RNAcentral is "lncRNA OsN22_11G024880". The record is from RNAcentral. Lineage: Eukaryota; Viridiplantae; Streptophyta; Magnoliopsida; Poales; Poaceae.